UGUUGUUUUAAUGAAUGCUUAUAAUUUUUUUGUGUGAGCGAGGAGCGGUUUGGUUUUGAGUAGAGCGGCUGAGUGGGAUUUCCGACCACUCAACUCCGUACUCUGAUGUGAACUAUGUGCCACCACAUUACACUGAAACUAGACACACACACUAUUCAAAACUGUUUAUUUUCUUGUCUUUGCAGUGGGUCGAGCAGCAGCAUGAUCGCAAUCGACAACAAGAUCGAGCAAGCCAUGGACCUCGUAAAGACCCACCUGAUGCUGGCGGUCCGAGAGGAAGUGGAGUUGCUAUGGGAACAGAUUAGAGAGCUGUCAGAAAGGAACGCCCAGCUGGAGAAGGAGAACUGCAUCCUGAGGAGGCUGAGAGACUGACCCUCCUGCAAUCACGUUGUUUAAAUUAGUAUAUACCUGUAACAUUACUGAUGAGUGAUUCUGUCCAACUGCAGAAAACAAUAAUAAAUAACUGUGAUUUAAA
Molecule: non-coding RNA, 475 nt
Organism: Salmo salar (Atlantic salmon)
Lineage: Eukaryota; Metazoa; Chordata; Actinopteri; Salmoniformes; Salmonidae
Source: RefSeq, a predicted model, not a curated record